CCGCAGGGGCGCUGUCCCAAGCCCCAGGUGCCCUGCAGGCGGUCCAGCCAAUCUGACAUCCCCAGUGCCCUACCCCUGUGGGGCCCCUGCUCCCCACUGCCUUCCCCAAGAUCCAUCCGGGCCUUACUAGUCCUUCUUAGCCCUCUGGGAAACUCCUGGAGUCUUUUUGAUCAUUCCUGGUCCUUCCCGGGCCCCCAAUUUUGGGAACAUUUUAGGCUCUUUAGGGCUUCCCUGGGCAUUCCUUCGUUACUUUCCUUCCCUAGGUUCUGGGCUUCCUAGCGACCUGUGGGUCUUCUUGGCCCUGGUGAGGCUCCACAGGCCUUCUCUGGGUGUGGCUGAGGACUCUUGAAGUGGCCAGUAGGCCUGUGAUACCCAGGUCCUGGUUCACAGACCUCUAUUCCAAUAUACCUAGCCUGUCUAGGAUACAUUUAUGUUAUAAGAGUCCAGUUUUGUAACCCCGAAUGAGCAUCUCCUGCCACCUCUACAAAUUAAGUGGAAAAGAGGUUUGAAUUGGAGUCAACUGCUGAGGAAGAAUAAACAGCUAACUAUUGACCCUCAGCUAUCUAUUCACCUGAGACUGCUAGUCUGGGUUCCUAAGAAUCACUCUGAGGUUUGUACAUCCUCUAAGAGUCUCUGUUUUCCUCUGUGGCACAGCCUCACCUCAACAGCCUCUCUUUCCCACUACCAUCCCUACUCAAAGGCUUUUCCUUCCAUGCUUUGAUGACAUCAAAAUCAUGGCUCUCUUUUCCUUUGUCACUAAAUGUGAAUGAUUAUAGGACAUGCUGAGCUGGGAUCCUCUUUCUGGGAGUUGGAGCCCUCCCACCUCAGCUGCUGCGAGCCAAAUACUCUCUUUAGGACGCUUCCUUUGAGAAACCUGGAGAUGAUCUUCUCUUUCUGAACGUUGCUGAACACUCUGCCUUCUGGGAGCCAGCUGGCCUUGUCAAACGCACAGCUGUGGCUUGUUGGCAGCGGAAGGUGCUCAGGAGACACAGGAGCCAUCUUUGAAAUAACAAAAAAGAAAGGAAAUUGCUCGUUACCUAAGAGCUAGUUGUAGGAGAAGAAAAAACAACCCUGGGUGCUGCCCUGUUCUGCCCCGUGCUGCGGGACCAAUUUAUUUAGGGGAUGCUGCUUUGGAAAUAACCCAUGUUGUCCUGUGAUGGGUAGUGAGAAUCCUGAAUUCUCUGGCUUGGAAAAGGUCCUAGCAAGACAUCAGUUGCCAAGAGAGGUUAGUCUAACUCCAAAGCCAAGCAACAUACCUUCGUG
This is a non-coding RNA of Myodes glareolus (Bank vole), 1263 nucleotides long. Lineage: Eukaryota; Metazoa; Chordata; Mammalia; Rodentia; Cricetidae. The record is from RefSeq and is a predicted model, not a curated record.